Molecule: long non-coding RNA, 2316 nt
Organism: Hypanus sabinus (Atlantic stingray)
Lineage: Eukaryota; Metazoa; Chordata; Chondrichthyes; Myliobatiformes; Dasyatidae
Exons: 3
Source: RefSeq, a predicted model, not a curated record
CGAAACAGCAUUAUACCAGUGCCAAGGUGCAAAGCACAGUACUGACACUCACGCACAGCACAAGGAGCAUAUAGCACAGCUAAGAUAACAAACAAAUAUAAGAUAGCAGGCACAUAUAAAACACCGAGCAUGUAUAAAAUAUCACUAAAAUAAAGUCACACAAAAAUAUAUAGUCCAAGUCCCUGAGUCCAUGAAUGUUCUCCUAUUGAGGGAACACUGGGGGCAGCACCAACUGCGGCUUGGACGCCAUGCCACCUCGAUCCGAUGGAGAACAUCAACUCUGACAUCCUUCCCCAGGGCCACUGUAAACAGGCGGCUCUUCUGCUUGAGGCCUAGUUCUUGCUACAAUGGAGGCCUCAUAGCUGCAGCCCCGACAGCCCCUGCCGUUCACCAAUAAAUCAGCGAGUCGGAUUUGCAGCAUUCCACAUUACCAAUGCCCAGCAGGGUCUUGGAGUCACUGGAAAAGCUACUAAGAUGAUUACUUGCUACUUGACUUCACCAGCACCUUCAUGUACUGACUCCUCCGACAUCUCCCUAGUACAGGCAGCAGCACAAUCUGCAUCAAGUCCAAUUCCUUCAGUUUCUCCACCAACAGGCAACUCGCUCACGGGAUAGAGCUACAGUACUUUAAGUUUGUAAUGUUCAGCAGGGUUGUGCGAUCUUAAAAAAGUAUGAUUAAAAAGGACCCCCUAGAAGCCGCUCAAUUGAACGCACUGCUAUUUUACCAGGAAGUAAGAAAAAUCACUGGGCUAUGAUCCAGAGAACUAGACUAUUGACUUAGAGACAUUUCAGUUUAAUCUCAGGUGAGGAAUCUAAAUUCAAGAGAUUUGGCAGAUUCUGAUUUUUUUUAAAUAUGUAGACCUUUAAAAGAAAAUCUAUGUGAUCAUGAAACCAACAGACUGUGGUUUAAAAUCCUAUCUGGUUCAUGAAUUUUAUUCUGAUGCCUCCAAACCCACUAAUAUGACCUGGGAGGAUUUUGACAAUGGGCAGUAAAGGCUGGCCUUGCCAGUAAUGCCUACAUUUUGUGAAUAAAUAAAUAAAAAUGAUAAAAAAAAUUCUACCUGAUCAAAUCUUGCGAUGGCGCCCUUCCAUAAAAAUAACAUUGCCUUUUUAUUUUACUGCCUGUGUUGUUAAAGCCACUUGAUAUUUCAACUCAUUUAUUCUUGUAGACUCAGCUUAUUCCAAGGAUCUUUUUUUUCUGCCGUCACUUUAAACCCUUGCAUUUCAUCUUACCUGCAGGCUGUCAGUUAAUAGGUGCAGCAAAGCGCGCAAUCAAGUUGAUCACAGAGACUGCAUUUUGUCCAGUAGACAACUCUUCAUGAUCCUAGUCCCAAGAUCGGUCAGAGCUUUUUUUCCCCAGAGUAUCAUACUGAAGAUUGAAGAAGAAGGAGAGGAGUCUACUAUAACUGACACAGCGAGCACUAACUAUGGAGGAAUUAAUUCCAGGAAUUUGAAAAAAAAAAUCAAAGUUGGCCGUCAGCUGCUCCAGAACAGCGUCGGUGCAGGCAGCAGAGCGGGAGUAAGGAGUGUUUGUGAUCGACAGACGACUGGAGAUCAGAGGAUCAGCCGUUGUAGGUUGGCCGAGACCCUUGGACUUACUUGGAGAGUACCUGAGGAGGAAGUUGCAUCAGAGGACAAUCAGAAUGAACAUCUGGAGGACUGCAAUUUUAACCCACAUCUUAAAUGGAGCAACAUCGUUCAUCAGGAGUUUUAUGUAGUAGGUGACUCACCCUCUCACUUCCCAGUGGUUGUCUACCAUCAGUGAAGUAUGAGUCAGGUGUGUGACACUAUAUUCUCCAGUGGAGUGAACGGAUAGAACAUCUUCAAUUUCAGGGAGCGCGAUAUCAUCUAGACCGGGGGUCGGCAACCUGCGGCUCCCGAGCCAUUUGUGGCUCUUUCACCUCUGUGCUGCGGCUCCCUGUGGCUUUGGGAAAUAAUUGGUCAGUAUUUAAUUAAAAUGUAUUUUAUGUUAGUUUGUUAGCUUUUGAAAUGUAAUUAUGGUGAUCUUGUACAACCUAAGUGUAGCGACACAUUUCCUGCCACAUCAUAAAACGGCUCACAAUUAGCCAGCAUUCCGGCUAAGGGAGAUAGCCUACGGGGGUUUGUGAGUACGCGUCUUUUGCAGCAUCUGCGUCCAUGGGGGCUGGGUUGAGGGAAGCUGAAAAGCAAGGCUGUUUAGUUCGAAUAAAGCUAUCUUUGACUGCAGUUUACUGACACCGCUACAACGUGUUUUUAUCGCUGGCUGUCCAGACGGAAGGUGCUGAAACGCUUUGUCGCGUGUCUGGAAGAAGUGAAAACUUUCCUGGGCAGCAAAGG